CGCGGGCGUCGGAGAGAAAACCGGCGUUCGAGGAAAGUCCGGACACCGUAGGGCGGGGUGGUCGGGAGACCGACCCGGGGAAACCCGCGGGAAAGUGCCACAGAAAUACACCGCCUAAGCGGCGGGGCUGCACGUGGGCCUCGUCGCCGGCAAGGUUGAAAUGGUGCGGUAAGAGCGCACCGGCGGCGUGGUGACACGCCGGCCAGGCAAACCCCACCCGGUGCAAGGCCAAGCAGGGACGUUGACGCUGCCCGCCGAGUCCCAGGUAGGCCGCAGGGCCUCAGGGCCCGUCCCGGCGCGAGCCGGGGCAGAUGGAUGGCUGCCCACGACAAGAUCCGGCUUACCGGCCGGCUACGGAG
RNAcentral lists this RNase P RNA (359 nucleotides) under Thermoleophilaceae bacterium. Its description in RNAcentral is "partial RNase P RNA component class A". It matches the Rfam family "Bacterial RNase P class A". From Rfam's summary of the family: Ribonuclease P (RNase P) is a ubiquitous endoribonuclease, found in archaea, bacteria and eukarya as well as chloroplasts and mitochondria. The record is from RNAcentral. Lineage: Bacteria; Bacillati; Actinomycetota; Thermoleophilia; Thermoleophilales; Thermoleophilaceae.